UUGGAUCAAGACCACCCUCAAAAUAUGAGGGUUCGCCUUAUGGAAUUUAGAUAUGUUACUAGCAAUGGUCCUAUUACAUGUAGUUUGAUCAUCAAUUGGGAAAUGAUGAUAAUUAUUCUAUUGCAGAUGCACUUGUUGACCUACAAUAUUAGUCAAAUCCUGAAUGGCUUUAAAAAGCUUCGUAAACUUUACCUUAGUAGAGGCAUCAUCAGGUCCCUCAGCAGAUGACUUUCUAUGUGUCAUAUUGCCUAUACAAGGAAAAUAGUUGCUUAAAGUAAGAUAAGUGAAUCCUAAACUAGCUAAGGUUCCAAGUUUAAUUUUAGAGAAUACCCUCCUCCAAACCCUUAGUUUUAGUUGUAUGGGAUAUUCAUAGGAUUCUCUCUAAUACCACCUGUGACGUCCUGAUGCCAAUAAGGGCAUCAACGUCCAAAAGAGCAGACAAAAGUAACUUAAUUACAUUACAGUGGAAAUUCACAUCCCAUAAAAAUGUACAAAUGUUGUAUCCUAAGGCUAAUAACGCUAUUAAUUCCUAAGUACAUUAAUCAAAGGUAGCCUAAUUUUACGAAUACUAGGCUUUAAAAAUUUUCAAAAUAGACAAAAGACUGGUCUCCGUUUCUAUUCCUCCUAAAAAGAAUCUAGGUAGGGCUCUUCAGGAAGGCUCUUAAAGUUAGUAUCUAGGGGAUUUUGAUUUAGGGUGAGUUCCAAAAUACUCGGUAAAAAAAGUAGUAAUAGAGUUGUACAAGUAUGUUUAAAAACAUUCAUUAAUGCAUAAUUUAAGAAAUUGAUAUUUGAAAUAUAUUUUACCAAGUAUAAUAUCAUUUCCAUACUGCAAUAUUUUAAUAACAAUAUUCAAUUCAAUAAUUAAAGGUGCUCAAUACCAUAUUCAAUAAGUUUACAGAACAUACACACACACAGGACUAGACACUUCUUUGAGGUUUUAAUUACAAUUUAAGAAUUUAAUUUAGGUUUCAUUGAUUACAAACCUACACAUGCAGCCGCUUACACUUAUUUCUAAGGACGACAAAUGAGACACCAACUAGCUAUGAGUGGGUGCGCAAUCAAUCAAUAUACAUAAUAUAGUGACGUGAAAUAUAUGUACAAUCUCUCAAAUCUAUUCAAUUUUCAUACCUCAUAAUUUCACCCUAGUUGCCAUAAUUCAUCUCUUGUUAAAGCAUGAUAUCAAUUAGUCUAAAUUUCUAAGGAAAACUGAAUAGUAGUUCCAACACAGAACCCAAAACAAGCACCCAUAACCCAGUGGUUCCAAAAACAAUAUCAAUUAUUCCUCCUGGAAAUUCAAAUGAAUCAGAUUUAGCUAGAUUCUAGGUUGAUUAAAUUCUGAUUCGUCUAUUUUCGUCUUAAUUUUUAUUUGAUUAAUUUCUAGGUUAUUAAUUUGACCUAAAAUUUUAAAUCAUAUCCUCAAAUUUUUUUAAUGGUAUGUUUAAUAGAGUUAUAUUUGUUAUUUGUUAUUUUUGAGUUGAUUUUAUUUGUUAUUUUAAAGUUCUUUUAUUAUUAAGUUAAUCUUAUAAUUUUACUCUAAAUUUUAUUUUAUUUUUACCUACAAUCCCAAAUUUCGACUUCAUUGUGCUUUCCAUUCAAUUUUUCAAAUGCUCAUUCUACUUUAGUCUGUUUUAAGCCAUUUCAAAAUUAACUUCAAUUUAUCAAAAUUACCAAAUUGCCCUCCACCAUUGCUUUCCCGAGGGAAUUUUUCCCCUUGCUCGUGCCCGUGGCACGGUGGGCAUCCACGAAGGCCUCUCGUUGUGCAUAUGCCUGUCAAGUCAGCACGGCUUGCCUGGCCAGCUGCACAGGGCAGUGGGCCCACAAGGCAUGUGUUGAGGUGUUAACGAGCACCCUCGCACACAUCCGUAUGUGCAUUUGGGCGCUCACUUUUAUUGUACGCGAUCCUGCGCGUGCUGACCCUUUCAGCACCAAAAUAUGCUCGGCAAAGCCUCGUGAUCGCUUCCGCAGCAUACUUCGCGUGUGCAAUAUGCUAGGGGGAAGGGAUCAUGCGGGCAAUCCCGAGUGCCUAGGCUAUAAAUGCUUUUCAAUCCUAGCAUUUUGGUGCCUCACACGAUUAGUAGAGGCAAUUUUGGCCUCUGUUGGUGAUUUCUGUCCCUUUUUCCAUUCCAUUUCAAUUCAGUUUUCAUUCCAAUACAUUCUUACAAAUUAAUUCAACAUCAUUCAUCAUUCCAAACAUCAUAAAACAACAACUUAAAUAUAGAAAAAUUCUCAUGAAUGCAGACACACCACGUUUAUGUUAAAACCAUUAUCACAGCUUCAAUUUAUUAAAAUUUUAUCGAUCUAAAGCAUGUCUAAAAUCCAAUACUUGAAAUAACUGGAUUACCAUUCAUCUUACCUCAAAAAAGAUGAUUAUUUGGCCUUAAAUGCAUGAGUAGAAGAAUUCAGAAAUAGAAAAACUAAUUUGCAACUCGCUUGGGUAGCAGUUGCAGAAGCAGUUGUGAACUUUUGGAUUAGUUUUUUGUUUUAAGAGUCAUUCUACGCCUAAAAUUGUUUCCUAAUAUUCCUAAGAUCUUAAUCUUUUCAUAGGCUACUUGAAAUUGAAGAAAAAUUAAAGAUAGAAAAGGAAUUGGAAAGGAAAUAGGAGGAUUACACGUUCGAAUUGCGUCUUCGGGUGCAGUAGAGGAAAUGCUUUAGACCGAAGUUUAUUGCAAUUUUUUUGGGUUCUUGUAGCUGCUAACAGGCAUGUUUAGAUACCAAGGAAAGAAUGAAGGAUGCAAUAUAGGGGAAUUAAAGCUUACCUUAACCAAAAAAAGGUGAAAUCUCCUCCUACAGACUCGCACCUCUCCUCCUUGCGUGCUCUAGUUUCUAUCUUAUUUUCUCACUCAAACUUCAUCUUCUGAUUUCUCCCUAAAUUGUUUAUUUUUCACUCCUAAUCGUCUAACUCUCUCUUUCUCUAAUCGAAUGGGGAAGAAAGAAGUCAAAUGGAAGCUUUUAAAUUGGAUUUUUAGCAACUAUUGGUCCUUAAAUUGCAUUCAAGCAAUCUUAGCCAUUAUUGUCCAAGAGUGGCUGAUAGCAUGUAAGGGAGAAAGUUCGAGUUUGACAAUUGGCUGGGCAGCUGGCCUCCUCUGCUAGGUGGCCAGAACACCUCCAUAAAUGAGUUUACGUGGCGUCAAGUUGGAGCCAAAUCUGGAGGGUAUCAGCUAGCAGUUUUGCUAUACGUGGGAAAACUUUCUGCAAGCUAGUAAGUUAUUCCACCCAUAUGCUCGCGGGCAAGGCACGCACACGAUGCCCUCACGUGUGUCCACGACCACCCACUUGCAAACUAACACACAUUCCUCUGUGUGUUUGCGAUCUGUCAAGCUUACAGGCAUGGCAGAUGGAAUUUCUCGCAUGCCCACUACCUGGCAUGCCCGCAGGUUGGCAAUCUCAUUGGUGGGGGAUUUAAAAUCCUAUGGUUGUCCUGAUUUAAAAAAAAAUAAAAAUAGAUGUAUUUUUUAAAUUAAAUAAUUAAAAACGAAUAAUUUUCAUUAACAUUACAAUAACACAUGUGAAAAUUAACUCUUUUAUUGAUUGUUUGAAUUUUUAUAACAUUGGUUGUUACAUACAACAAGUAUACAUGAUUAAAAAUCUAUUAAAUUCAAUUCUGUCCAAUUUCUAAGCCUUUCCCAAUGGUUUAAACCAUUUGGACAGGCAACCACAAUUGAUUUUAAAACCAGAUUACCAACCAUUCUUUAACUUGUUCAAACUCAGUGAAAAAGUGAUUAUUUUUCAGUUUAAAAACUCCUUUCUCAAUAGACAUCAAGGAUCACUACUCGAUAUUCUUUCAAACUCCUAUGCAAAAAGAAUUGGUUUAAAGCUUCAAAUAUGGCUCUAAAAUCACUUCGAGACCUAUCAAAAUAUUCAGACUUCUCAAGUCAAUAUGAGCCCAAGAAUUUGGGGAAAUUUUUCAAUUAAACUGGCUAUUGCUUGGCUAGUUCGAUAUUCCUAGGUGUUUUACUACAUGUAAACUAUUUUUAGAACUCAAAAUCUAGCUUAAAUGGAAUUAAAAAGCUAAAAAAAAUCAUGAAUGAAGUGUCGAGUUCGACCACUUACCAGAAAGGAAAUGGGUUGUCUAAGACCUGGCUUAAUUUCUCAAUAUCCAACAAAUUUUCUGGUUUCUAGGUGGUCAAAAAUUGUUUCCCAUCCACAGUGGUCACUCUCUCACUAUUUUUGUUUCCUCUUUCUCUUGAAUUUUGGCUCACACAGAUGAGCUUAUCUCCUGUUUCGGGUUUUUUCUGCCCAUUGAAGCGAAGAAGAAGAAGAAGGUCAACAUUUUCAAGGGCAAGGGAAACCAUAAAGAUCCGGGCCAUCGAUCUGCAUGCAGUGUUUCUCAGUCGUUUGAUUAGAUUUAUUGUCGAGGGCAUUUUCAUAAAAUUUCUUGCAUUUUAAAUUUCGACUAUUAGAUCAAACCUGUAUGCAAUCUGGGUCGUUGGUUUC
Molecule: long non-coding RNA, 4434 nt
Filed under: Carica papaya (papaya)
Lineage: Eukaryota; Viridiplantae; Streptophyta; Magnoliopsida; Brassicales; Caricaceae
Description: long non-coding RNA (CPAP_LNC009002)
Source: RNAcentral